AUUGAACGCUGGCGGCAUGCCUUACACAUGCAAGUCGAACGGCAGCACGGGAGCAAUCCUGGUGGCGAGUGGCGAACGGGUGAGUAAUAUAUCGGAACGUGCCCAGUCGUGGGGGAUAACGCAGCGAAAGCUGUGCUAAUACCGCAUACGAUCUAUGGAUGAAAGCGGGGGACCGCAAGGCCUCGCGCGAUUGGAGCGGCCGAUAUCAGAUUAGCUAGUUGGUGGGGUAAAGGCCCACCAAGGCGACGAUCUGUAGCUGGUCUGAGAGGACGACCAGCCACACUGGAACUGAGACACGGUCCAGACUCCUACGGGAGGCAGCAGUGGGGAAUUUUGGACAAUGGGCGCAAGCCUGAUUCAGCAAUGCCGCGUGCAGGAUGAAGGCCUUCGGGUUGUAAACUGCUUUUGUACGGAACGAAACGGUGAGCUUUAAUACAGUUUGCUAAUGACGGUACCGUAAGAAUAAGCACCGGCUAACUACGUGCCAGCCGCCGCAGUAA
Molecule: ribosomal RNA, 500 nt
Filed under: uncultured bacterium
Lineage: Bacteria
Description: partial 16S ribosomal RNA
Rfam family: Bacterial small subunit ribosomal RNA
Source: RNAcentral